Molecule: ribosomal RNA, 255 nt
Filed under: uncultured bacterium
Lineage: Bacteria
Description: partial 16S ribosomal RNA
Rfam family: Bacterial small subunit ribosomal RNA
Source: RNAcentral
UACGUAGGGUGCGAGCGUUGUCCGGAAUUACUGGGCGUAAAGGGCUCGUAGGCGGCCAACUAAGUCACACGUGAAAUCCCCAGGCUUAACCUGGGAACUGCGUGUGAUACUGGAUGGCUUGAAUCCGGGAGAGGGAUGCAGAAUUCCAGGUGUAGCGGUGAAAUGACGUAGAUAUCUGGAGGAAUACCGGUGGCGAAGGCGGCAUCCUGGACCGGCAUUGACGCUGAUGAGCGAAAGCUAGGGGAGCAAACGGGG